GAAAUGCGAUAAGUAAUGUGAAUUGCAGAAUUCAGUGAAUCAUCGAAUCUUUGAACGCACAUUGCGCUCGCCAGUAUUCUGGCGAGCAUGCCUGUUCGAGCGUCAUUUCAACCAUCAAGCUCUGCUUGCGUUGGGGAUCCGCGGCUGCCCGCGGUCCCUCAAAAACAGUGGCGGGCUCGCUAGUCACACCGAGCGUAGUAACUCUACAUCGCUAUGGUCGUGCGGCGGGUUCUUGCCGUAAAACCCCCAAUUUCUAAGGUUGACCUCGGAUCAGGUAGGAAUACCCGCUGAAGUUAAGC
RNAcentral lists this unclassified non-coding RNA (299 nucleotides) under plant metagenome. RNAcentral describes it as "partial contains 5.8S ribosomal RNA, internal transcribed spacer 2, and large subunit ribosomal RNA". The stretch from base 1 to 105 matches the Rfam family "5.8S ribosomal RNA", at positions 50 to 154 of the family's 154-position model. The record is from RNAcentral.